RNAcentral lists this ribosomal RNA (390 nucleotides) under Triticum aestivum (bread wheat). RNAcentral describes it as "partial small subunit ribosomal RNA". Lineage: Eukaryota; Viridiplantae; Streptophyta; Magnoliopsida; Poales; Poaceae. The record is from RNAcentral.
AUGUCUUCCUCCAGUGCCAUCUAAUCAAACCUAAGUGGUCAGGUCACGGAGAAGCUCUCCCGGACGAACUACGUCCUGUGGCGCACCCAAGUCACGCCGCAGUUGAGGGGAGCCGGGUUCUAUGGCUACGUCGACGGCACCAUGCCGGAGCCGCCCCGCCUUUUCGUCGCCAAGGACAAGGACGGGUAGGAGACAUCCGAGCCCAACCCUCUCCACCCCAUCUGGGUGAGGGAGGACCAGCAGGUCCUUGGCUACCUGCUCAAGAACCUCACAAAAGAGGUGCUCGUCGCAGUGACCGCGGUCACCACCGCGCACGCUCUCUGUUGGCACUGGCAGGUAUGUUCUCGUCGCAGUCCUGGAGCCGCGUCAACAACAUCCGCACUGCCUUGA